Long non-coding RNA from Belonocnema kinseyi, 384 nucleotides. RefSeq lists it as uncharacterized. The transcript has 2 exons. NCBI's taxonomy places the organism in Eukaryota, Metazoa, Arthropoda, Insecta, Hymenoptera, Cynipidae. The record is from RefSeq and is a predicted model, not a curated record.
AAGGAAGCAUCGGCAACAACAAUUCAUAUGAUUCAGAACAGCCUAGCCAGGACGUCAAAUUAUCAACUUGUAUAAAAAGUACUACUGUGGUGCCACCUACGACAUAACAAAGAUGCUAUCUACAAAAUCGAUGUUGACCAUACUUGUGGUUUUGGCAUUAUUUUAUAGUGCGAUGGCUUGUGACGGAUUUGAUCGUCCAUGUACUGGACCUAAUGGUCAACAAGGCAGUUGUUGUAAGGGAAUGCAUUGUCAGAAGAAUAACCCCUCUUGGGCAAAAGGACGCUGUUACUAUAACCCUGGAAAGUAACUGCUAAAUAUGCACUACUAACACAUACUAAAAUGAUUAAUAAAUCAUUGAAGAAAAUGAAAAAUUACUAAAUAAAG